AUCUUAUUAGCUUAUUUAUUAGAGCACUUUACUGAAAAUAAAGAAGACUAAAAACAUUU
Molecule: transfer RNA, 59 nt
Filed under: Ebrechtella tricuspidata
Lineage: Eukaryota; Metazoa; Arthropoda; Arachnida; Araneae; Thomisidae
Description: tRNA-Phe
Source: RNAcentral